GACGAACGCUGGCGGCGUGCUUAACACAUGCAAGUCGAACGGAAAGGCCCUGCUUGCAGGGUGCUCGAGUGGCGAACGGGUGAGUAACACGUGGGUGAUCUGCCCCUUACUUUGGGAUAAGCCUGGGAAACUGGGUCUAAUACUGGAUAGGACCAUGCUGUAGGUGGUGUGGUGGAAAGAUUAGUUUCGGUAAGGGAUGAGCUCGCGGCCUAUCAGCUUGUUGGUGGGGUAAUGGCCUACCAAGGCGUCGACGGGUAGCCGGCCUGAGAGGGUGGACGGCCACAUUGGGACUGAGAUACGGCCCAGACUCCCACGGGGGGGAGCAGGGGGGAAUAUGGCAAAAUGGGGGCAAGCCUGAGGCAGGGACGCCGCGGGGGGGAUGAAGGCCUUCGGGUUGGAAACUCCUUUCAGCCAUGACGAAGCCCUUGUGGUGACGGUGGUGGUAAAAGAAGCCCCGGCUAACUACGG
Molecule: ribosomal RNA, 468 nt
Filed under: uncultured bacterium
Lineage: Bacteria
Description: partial 16S ribosomal RNA
Rfam family: Bacterial small subunit ribosomal RNA
Source: RNAcentral